UGGAGAGGAUUUUGGCUUUACAUAAUUGUUUUUCAUAAAUUUUGGUGUCCAUCUUGCCGUUAAAGGGUUUUCUGUCAGUUUCAAAUUUGGGCGGUAAAGGCGACGUGUUCCAAUUAGGGGACAGACGAUGCGAGAUCAAGACCUCCCCCCUCUCUCUCUCUCUUUUCAUAUUUUGGCAUGAAGAAGCAGAGAGGCACGGUAGUAGUUUGGUUGCAGAUAUGAGCACAGGCGAGAUUCCUCCCAAUACAACCAUCUACAUCAAUAAUCUCAAUGAGAAAAUCAAACUCGAAGAGGAUACAGUAUGCAAAGACAAAACCUGAUAUUGUAGCAAAAGCUGAUGGUACCUUCGCUCCAUGAGAAAGACAAAAGCGGCAUGAAGAAAGAGCUGAGAGAAAGCGAAGAGAACAACAUGAUGCCAACCAAGGUGGGAUGGAUGUGAAUUCUGCAUAUGCGGGUGCCUAUGGUGCAUCUCCUGUAAAAGAGGCUACCAAAACGUGUGCAGAUGCAGGGUCUCAAGUCUCAGGUAAAAAAGGCUAACGACCUUCCUUCGGCAGUGAAUGUGGUUCAGCUUCCCAAGCAAUGGACUGUUACCUGUUAUAUUGGUUGCCUCGCCGUCUCCGGUGACCUACUCUAUGCCGCCUCGGGUUCCGUUAAGUCUCGCUAUUUCGGAAAGGAAGCUCUUCACCGCUCACCAGGACUCUAAGAUCCGAGUCUGGCAGCUAACCCCAACCAAACGACAUCAACUCGUGGCAACGACAUCUACCGAAGAACUACGUCCGCGUCAGACAUCACAAGAAACGGGUAUGGAUUGAACACGCUGACGCUGUCUCUGGCCUCGCCAUCAGCAAUGGUUUAAUCUACUCCGUUUCCUGGGGUAAGUGCCUGAAAGUAUGGCGGGCGUCGGAUCUCCGUUGCUUGGAGUCCGUGAAACCCAAGGCAAAUCUCCACUGCAACCAGCUGGAGAGGAACAGUUGUUCGUUCUCUCUUUCUCUCUUCUUCUUCUUCUUCCCCUGCUUCAGAUCGUCUUCUCCUCCUCUACACCAUCUCCCGCUGCAACAUAUCAGAAAACGUAAACUCCAUUUACGUUGAUGUAACCAAACAGGACAAUUGUAAAUCGGCACAAUGGCCGGUCCGUAUUUUACACUCUUACCGAACCAUCGUGUCUCAACUCUAUCAAUGGAAAAGAGC
This is a non-coding RNA of Nelumbo nucifera (sacred lotus), 1188 nucleotides long. The record is from RefSeq and is a predicted model, not a curated record. Lineage: Eukaryota; Viridiplantae; Streptophyta; Magnoliopsida; Proteales; Nelumbonaceae.